AGCGAACGCUGGCGGCAGGCUUAACACAUGCAAGUCGAACGGGCGUAGCAAUACGUCAGUGGCAGACGGGUGAGUAACGCGUGGGAACGUACCUUUUGGUUCGGAACAACACAGGGAAACUUGUGCUAAUACCGGAUAAGCCCUUACGGGGAAAGAUUUAUCGCCGAAAGAUCGGCCCGCGUCUGAUUAGCUAGUUGGUGAGGUAAUGGCUCACCAAGGCGACGAUCAGUAGCUGGGUCUGAGAGGAUGAUCAGCCACACUGGGACUGAGACACGGCCCAGACUCCUACGGGAGGCAGCAGUGGGGAAUAUUGGACAAUGGGGGCAACCCUGAUCCAGCCAUGCCGCGUGAGUGAUGAAGGCCCUAGGGUUGUAAAGCUCUUUUGUGCGGGAAGAUAAUGACGGUACCGCAAGAAUAAGCCCCGGCUAACUUCGUGCCAGCAGCCGCGGUAAAGUGUGACUG
Molecule: ribosomal RNA, 462 nt
Filed under: uncultured bacterium
Lineage: Bacteria
Description: bacterial SSU rRNA
Rfam family: Bacterial small subunit ribosomal RNA
Source: RNAcentral